GGGGUGGAGGGGGGUCAGCCCUCCCCGCCUCCCGCUCGGGGCUGUUCCGGGUUCCGCGUUCCCAGGGUGGAGCGGGGAUCGCAGGCGAGACCGCUGCAGGAAGAAGUCGUUGUAGGCCAUGCACAGUGUGGUCAGGAACACCGUGUACUCCUUGAAGUCGAUCUCCUGGUCACUGUUCUUGUCCAAGGUCCUCAUCAGAUCAUCGAUGCCGCUCUCUUUCAUCUUCUUCAAGAGCACAGGGAGAGGGACAGGAGACGGGCGUCAGGACAGAUGGAGAUGGAAACAACAUCUCUGUGCCGUGGUCCUUGCCCCCAGACUGGGCUCCUGUUAAACUCAGGCCUACCCCAGGGCCUCUGUCCCCCGUAAUUAACCCCUAGGGGACCCGCGGCCCCUCCCCUCGCCCUCAUUAACUCCAGAAUGCAGGGAGCCUGGCAGGCAAGCCAGAGGGCAGGCCUGGUGAGACCCACACCUGCUCCAGUCCCCAAAGGAAGGCUCUCUCUCUGAGGAGGCCACCAAGGUUGACCAUGUGACUGGAGAGGCCUCAAGACUGGAUUUUCAGGGGAAAAGGAAGGACUCAGCCUCUUACUUGGGAGAACUCAGGUCUUCAGCUGCAGGUGACAGUCACCUACCUCUCCAAGACACAACUCCUUCUUGAUCAGCUCCUUUAGUUCCUUCCUGCUCAGGGUCAGUUUGCUGCCUUCUCUCCCAGAAUAUUUAUGGAAAGUGCUGACCAUAGUGGUCAGGGCCUUCUCAAGAGGAGUCUCCAUCAGUGGGUGCCUCUGGAGGGUGAAGGGAGAGGGAAGGAUUACCUCCCCGGGAAGCCAGACCUUCUGCUUUCCCCAUCACUAGCCCAGCCCUGAGGCUCUCUCUCAAGGACCAGAAACUAGAACCCAGGUUGAAACAGAACUUACCAACAAGUGGACUCAAAUGUCCCAGAACAGGUUGUAUAGUAAGACCUGAAGCAAAUGUGGAGCAGCUAGAGUCAUGAGACCAGCCAGCCCCAAAGGAGCUGCAUGCUCCAAAAAUGCUGGAAAGGGCUCUAGGUGCAGAUGACAAGAGGACCUCCCCAAAAGAUGAACUGGUGGUAAGGGCCCCUGGCCCCCCGAGCAUGGGCACUCAUUUCCUAAGCACCCUCCUUUGCCCCGGUGCCUGAAUCACUGGAUGACAGAGUGUGUCCUCUUGUACAAGGGGAGGACCAGGCAAAGAGAGAGUCCAGGGCUUGGAGGGGGCUGGGGUUGGAACUGGGAGAUAUGGUCUCAGCAGGAAACAGGGGAGAGGUUACUGGACUUGUCCAGCUGGUCUCCAUCUCUGGCCCAGAGAAGUGCACACACGACUGGCACCAAGUGGGUUGGGCGCAUGGAAAUCUCCGGAAUCUGAGAUUGGACCCAAAGAUUGGGUUGGAUGUGGUCCUCCUCGUCCAUCAACACAGCCACAUCCACCCAAUCCAUAUCCAUCCACCAUGGAAGGCAGACUCAGACUCAAAAACCACUCCCUCUUUGGAAGGGACUAUACCUCCGACACAUGGGGGUUCCAGGUUAAUCUGUGUGGAGUCAGAGCAAGGAGGAAAGAGCAGCUGGUUCCCUCCCUCAGCCUGAAGCCCACCUAGUGAUUCUUGAACUGGAUCCAUCAGUGACCUCUCAGCACCCCAAAACCUCAGCUUAGCCUCCCCCAGGAGACUCAGCCAGGAUCACAGGGAAGGAAGGGCUUCCGGACAUCUGCAACAGAGCCCCUUCUCAAGAAAUUCUGAGAAGCACAGCUUCACACUUGGCCGUCCUUUCUGAGCAAGUGCCCACUCAUCAUGCCUGGCCUUCCUUGGUGGAGGUCCCCAAGCCUUGUCAUCACCCACUUGUCCCACCACAGAGAGGAGCCAGGAGGUGAGAAGGAAGGACUCACCUGGGAAGGAGCCAGCAGACAGAGCACACAGCAGAAACACACUCCCUUCCACACUCCCUGCCUUUGUUUCCUUGCUCUAAUCCCCAGGAAACCAGGGCAGGGAAAGAGCCAAUGAGAACGGGUGGGGACCCGAGGAGG
Long non-coding RNA from Canis lupus familiaris (dog), 2031 nucleotides. RefSeq lists it as uncharacterized. NCBI's taxonomy places the organism in Eukaryota, Metazoa, Chordata, Mammalia, Carnivora, Canidae. The record is from RefSeq and is a predicted model, not a curated record. The transcript is spliced from 4 exons.